AUACGUAGGGUGCAAGCGUUAAUCGGAAUUAUUGGGCGUAAAGCGCGCGCAGGUGGUUCCUUAAGUCUGAUGUGAAAGCCCCCGGCUCAACCGGGGAGGGUCAUUGGAAACUGGGGAACUUGAGUGCAGAAGAGGAUAGUGGAAUUCCAAGUGUAGCGGUGAAAUGCGUAGAGAUUUGGAGGAACACCAGUGGCGAAGGCGACUGUCUGGUCUGUAACUGACACUGAGGCGCGAAAGCGUGGGGAGCAAACAGGAUUAGAUACCCUGGUAGUCCACGCCGUAAACGAUGAGUGCUAAGUGUUGGGGGGUUUCCGCCCCUCAGUGCUGCAGCUAACGCAUUAAGCACUCCGCCUGGGGAGUACGGUCGCAAGACUGGAACUCAAAGGAAUUGACGGGG
RNAcentral lists this ribosomal RNA (397 nucleotides) under uncultured bacterium. Its description in RNAcentral is "partial 16S ribosomal RNA". It matches the Rfam family "Bacterial small subunit ribosomal RNA", at positions 523 to 918 of the family's 1533-position model. The record is from RNAcentral.